This is a long non-coding RNA of Equus caballus (horse), 5345 nucleotides long. The record is from Ensembl. Lineage: Eukaryota; Metazoa; Chordata; Mammalia; Perissodactyla; Equidae.
UAUUUUUGGAUUAUCUGUAGUCUGCUUGCCCCAAACAUGCACCCCCCGUAGGUGGGUAGAUGGAUGUUGACUAUGUAUUUACAUACUUCUUGCUCCUGGCAGCCAUCUCUGGCCACAGGCGCUUCUAAUUCUCUCCCAACCCUAAUGGUCUUCUGGGUAAUUUGGGGGAAUUAAUUGGUUACAAAUGGCAAAAAAUGGAUAAAACUUUUCACUUUGCAGGAGUGGACAGGAUGGAAGAUAGGCAACAAGCUGGUUUCUGGAAGAAGGAGCCCUGAGCUGGGAGCCAAGCAUCAUGUUCUAGUCUUGAGGCCAUGAACUUGUUAUACAUAGCCUCAAUUUCUUUGGAAAUAGGUAGAUUAUGAAUUACAACUGUGAGAACAUAGUCUCUCUAGGCCUUACUGUCUUCAUCUGGAAAAUGUUUUCCAAAGAGACAGAAUUACUACUGAACAAUUUCCUGGGGCUCUUGUUAAAGUCAGAUUCCCCGAGUGAGACCAGGUGGUUCUGACUCACAGCCGGACCCACUGGAUUAAAAGGUGUCUGAAUUUUCUCCCAUAUCUCACAUUCUUGAUGCUAAUUUCUGGUUCAAGUUCAUCCACAAGCAUUUGCUCUGUUCUUUGGGCAAGAUGCUGCCCGUCUCUGAGCCUGUCUCUUAGUGUGUGGUAGGAUCAUAUUUUAAAAGUAUGAGCUGACUGUUUUUUCUUUUGCCUUCUUGGCCCUCCCUUCCCUCAGCAGUGAUGCUCCGGAUUGGAUGUCGUCACGUCUUUCUAAGUAGUUCUUGACCUUGGAUUUUCAUUAGAGUUAUCUGAGGAGACUUUCAAAAUUGCGAUGCCCAGAUCACACGUUGGAACAAUUACAACGAUCUCUGGGAGCGGGAUGAGGCGUCAGUACUUUGUAAAAAUUGCCCAGGUGAUCCCAAUGUGCGGGCGUGGUGGAGACUCGCUGUGUGAGAACAGCGCGUCUCAAACUUUCCUGCGUAUGUGAAUCACUGGGGAUUUUGCUAAAACGCAGAUUCUGAUUCAGUAGGGCUGCAGUGGAACCACGGAAUCUGCGUGUCUGACAGGCUCCCGGAGGAUGCUGCUGCGGGUUCCAGGACCACAGUUUGUGGAGCAAGACUUUGAGGGCUCAGCCGUCUGGCUCUGCUCUCAGAAGCUACAAGUCCAUGAGAAACUCGGGCUGCGGACAUCCAUCUGGGGACUUCGCUGCCCACCCUCAUCAGUAGAAUGAGACUGGAAAGUGUGGGUACCCUCGAGAGGCUAAUAAUCUGGACCCUUUUCAAAUGGAUAGUCUUUAAAUAUUUGUUCAACAGUUUUAGUGGGGGUGGCACUGGUACUGGCAAGGAUUUAAAAAAAUUGUGACUUGAAUGUUCUGUCUGCCUCAAGGAGUGUGGGCAUUUGCCACUUUUAGAGCUAGACAGCAUCUGAAGCUCCUUCUUGUGCUUUGGGAACCACCCACUGUGCAUCUCACUAGGUGGCCCUAUUGCCAUUCAUGGAAGCUGACGUGGCCAGAUGAUCUCCUGCCCCAGGAAGGUUAGAAAAAUAUGGCCAAUGAUAUUUCCCUGGUUGUUCGUCGCUGACGGCCUUGUCAGCUGGCAUCACCUCAGGCCUGCGGACUAUGCAGGAGCCACUGCUGCUUGGAGACGACAGAGGAAGGGGUCAGUGGCUCACCGUUGACUGGCUGGGAGCUGGGACCCUAAAAUCUCUCCCCUCGCCACCUCCUCUUCCGUCACCGAAGAAUCAACAUUAGUUUCAUCUUUGCAGCUACCAGGCCUCUCACCUUUCCACUUCCUUCCAUGCGGCUUUUCCUCCCCCACUUCCUUUUUAUAUGAUUUUGACUAAGAUGGAAGAAAAUAAGAAAGAAUAUAACAGUGACCAACUCUGGAAUUUUACCUAGCAUGGUUUCUUUCUUUCUUUCUUUUUUUUUUUUUCUCUUAAUGAUGUCAGUUUCCUCCUCUACAAAAAGAAGUUUGGAUGGAGUGAUCUCACUGGUCCCUUCAGGCUUUUGAGGCCCUUCCUCUGACUCACCAGCCCCAGCCUCCUGUGCACAUCCUGGAACCUGGUGGGGAGAUGUGUCCGUACCUAAAGCAACUUCCAGUGUUAAUCCUCCACAGUCUCCUGAAUGAGUCAGCGAAACAGCAAGAGAGGAGGACAUGAGUCUGUGGAGGCCCCACGAAGGCCACUUUCCAAAGCAUGACACGUGGAAGGAAUCCCAUUAAACCAUGGUCUUCUUCAGAAUCAGCAGGGAGCCCCAGAGAGUCUCGCUUAGUAAGUCUGGGGUUCAGCUCCAAAAUGUGCAUUUCUAACCCGUAGCCCAAACUUAUUCUGAUGCAGGUAGCCCAAGAACCAAACUUCAAGAGACACAGGUAUAGACCAGAGUUACGUAACCUGGGCACCAUCGGCAUUUGGGCUGGAUGAUUCUUAGUUGUGGGGGGCUGCCCUCUGCAUUGUAGGAUGUUCAACAGCAUCCCUGGCCUCUGCCCACUAGAUGCCAGGAGCAGCCCACACUCCCCAAUUGAUACAAUCAAAAAUGUCUCCAGACCCCGUCAUUUGUCCCCUGGGGAGUAAAAUUGCCUCUGACUGAGAACUGCUGCCACAGAUAGAGCUUCUUCUUGGGACCUGCAAUCACACAUUUUGAUCAACACAAACAGGUUGCUAGAAGAGAAGGGUUCAUGUCGUCAGCUGAGGCAAAGAUACCUCCAAUGGAAGCCAACCCAUGUGAUGGGCAUGUCUUUGGUCCUGGCAACAGCCUGUGGAAGAGAGGCAGGGCCCUUGGAGAAUCCCUCUGGCAGGACUGAAUACAGCACUGCCUAACUCCCACACUCGGGGGACAGGGUGGUCCACCAGCUUCCCCAGACUUCCGAGAGACCAUUUGGACAUCAUGAGCUCUCGCAUCCACCAGGCUCCUCGGUCACUUUGGGAAGUCAGCUCCCCAGUAGCAAAUGUCUGUCUAGCACUUGCUGUGUGCCAAGCACUGGGCUGAGUGCUUUGCAUACAUUACCAUUGCUGAUCUUCCCAGCAGCCUUAUGAUGCAGCUUCUAAUAUCAUCCCUAUUAAACAAAUAAGAAAAGUGUGUCAAAUAGCGCGUCCAAGUGGUCAGCCCUGGAUUUAAGCUCAGACAUCCUGACUCCAGAGUCUGCGUUGUAACCCACUGUGCUGUACACAUGUGUGCCUGUCUCUCCCCAUUUCCUGAAAAAUACCCAUCUUGUCUAAACACCAGGGAAACAGGAUUUUCGGUGAAAACAUAUUAUAAUAAAAAUUAAGGAUGCUUUUUGAACUAAGCCUUCCUGACUGGAGACCAGGAUACAUCAACCUGGGUAGCAUUCUGCUCCCUGGGGAGCAGCAUAGGCAUGAAUCCUACCCAGGGCAUGUAACCAGGCACCUCCUUUUGUCCAUGUUCCUGACUGUUUGAAAGGUUUUGGAAUGUCAGCGAGUGGAGAGGAGCAGCGGGGGAGGAGGAGGUGACGUGCAAGAGGACAUUGAGAGGGGUUCAGGACAUCUGCAUGCAUCUACCUUCCCCACUGGGAGGUUUUAGGCAAAGUUCUCUGUGAAUUUUUACAAACACCACCAGCAAACCCCUGCGGAAUAGUAGGAACUUUGGGUUGGAUGGCACUGUGAGGAUUCCCACCGUGCCUGGCUUUAUUCUCUAAAGACGAGCAGGGGAUGAGCAAAGCCAUCAUUUAGAAUGGUGAUUGCAUCUGCGUAUGAGCAUAUUGCUACAGUAGUUCAAAACCCUUAAUUUAUAUGUCGACUGCAAAUAGGAAAAAGCAAGGGGAAGUGGAAGAGGAGAUAAGCGUGACUUCAGAGCGCCAGUGAGCUGGAAUGCCUUGCAAGGUGCUGCCAAACUGUGAUCAGUGUCAAGUUUACUGUCUUGUAGCUGAAGAUCACUUGAGUAGACAGUGUUAGAAAAGCAGGACGGUGGGUGGAGCAGGUCCUGUGCUGUGGGAGGGACAGGGUACAAAUUGGUAUAGAGAGAGGCAGGCGGCAUCAUUAAGGGCAAGCCAGUGGCGUGGAGAGUUGGUGUGUUUAGUGACAGGAAAGGAUUUGCCUUGUCUGUACAUAAAAAAGAGUGAGGUCAAGGCACAAACAGGUGUGUUCAAAUAGCAGCCCCACUGUUGAAGGGGUCCAUGGUGAUUUUUGAAGAAAAAAAAAAUUCUAAGUUGUUUGUCCAGUGGGACUUUUCUUGCAAGUGACAGAGACUCAAUUUAAACUGAUUUAAGCAAAACACAAAACAAAGCAGAAAACAAACAAAUGCAUAUAUGUGUGGAGAGGGAGGGUCAUUAAUUAACCCAAUGGAAAAUUCCAGAAGCUCAAAUGAUGUCAAUAGUGCUUUGUUUUUCUUUGUCUUUUGAUAUCACCUUCUUCUGUUGGGCACUCUCAUUGACAGAUUUUCUCUGCAUGACAGCCCCCAAGCGUGUCUAGAUUCAAGUCCAGUAGAAAGAGAAGUCUUGUCUUUGUCACUGGUCCAAGCUAAAGUUCCCUAUUUUAGUCUCAUUGGCCAGUCCUGGGUUCCAUGCUUUCCUUGAAUGAGGGGUUUAGGUCAGGCCCACCCAAACCACAUGGUCUGAGAAUAAGGGAGGGGCCUCACUCUGAGGGGGAGACGCCUCAUGGGUUCAUGAUGGAUUCAGAUGGGCUACUUGAUCUUUCCCACUCCAGGUUGAACAGUGAUCUACAGUCCUAAGCUUGCUGAUCCUGUGGUCACACAAAGUAUUCCUACCGUUAAAUUUCCUUCCUGUUCUGUAAUAAGCUUGGGCUGGCAAUUUGAUUUUAUUGACGGUCACAUCCCAAGUGAUGAUUUUUGAUUUACAAAAAAGUAAACUCCAGGAUUGGAUUUACUGAUAAAUAUCAUAUAAAGUCAUAGAGAUGAACACGAUACAGCACUUUUCUUUUCUUUUUUAAUGUGAAAACCUCUUAAAGGGGGGGCCAGAUCUUUGUGUCUCUCCCAAGUCUCCCAUCACCGUACCCAGUGGCUCCCGCAAUCUCUUGUAGCACAAGCCAACUCACACAAUCCUCAGCCACAGGAGCUCUGCCACCCUGCAGUGAGGCCACCGGACAGAGGAGGGGAGGGGAGGUGGGCACACACAAAAGUAAUUUAUUUAAGAGUGGUCACAACCACAGCUAUGGUGACAGCCGGUUUGCAGUCCUGGAAGCCUCUGAAAGGCUCAGUACAUCCUUCCCUCUUUGGGUUUUACAGUCUUGGACUAUCUUCUUAUGAUCCAAUCUUGGGUCCAAAGCCCCUUUUGGACCUUGUUUUGGCAAGUCAGCGAGACCACAUGCUGCUGUGCCCCAACUUCCCAUUUAUCUAAUUGGGGUCUGACUUUUCCCUCAUCAGAUGAUUCACACAGGGGUGUG